CCUACGGGAGGCAGCAGUGAGGAAUAUUGCACAAUGGGGGAAACCCUGAUGCAGCGACGCCGCGUGGGUGAAGAAGUAUUUCGGUAUGUAAAGCCCUAUCAGCAGGGAAGAAAGAAGACGGUACCUGACUAAGAAGCACCGGCUAACUACGUGCCAGCAGCCGCGGUAAUACGUAGGGGGCGAGCGUUAUCCGGAGUCACUGGAUGUAAAGGGAGCGUAGACGGCCGUGCAAGCCAGGAGGGAAAUCCCGGGGCCCAACCCCGGUACUGCUUUGGAAACUGUGCGGCUGGAGUGAGGGAGGGGGAGGCGGAAUGCGUGGUGUAGCGGUGAAAUGCGUAGAUAUCAGGAAGAACACCGGCGGCGAAGGCGGCCUGCUGGACCGCGACUGACGUUGAGGCUCGAAAGCGUGGGGAGCGAACAGGAUUAGAUACCCCAGUAGUC
This 441-nucleotide ribosomal RNA is filed under the name uncultured bacterium. RNAcentral describes it as "partial 16S ribosomal RNA". It matches the Rfam family "Bacterial small subunit ribosomal RNA", at positions 338 to 795 of the family's 1533-position model. The record is from RNAcentral.